AAGCCUCCCCCUUCCUCCUCUUUCGUGAGGUAAAAUACAAAGAAAAAAUCAGUUUUGAAAUUUCUACUGCACUCCCACCAACAUGCCCUCCCUCAGAACCAAUGAACGUGGUCAGUGCUUGAAUCUAUUCGCCUCACGCAGACCUGAAGAUGGGCAAACGUAAUUGCAAAAGCCAUGUUGGCUUCUAUGAGUCACGAGUGGGCAGCGGGACGACGAAUUUGUUGCCAGCCAAUCGCAAGGCACCUAAAUUUGUUUUACAGUAUGUUCCAAGUGUGGACCAGCAGGCGAGCUGAGCUCUCCCCGUCCUGGCCAGGGGGGCUUUUGGCUCCAACGACAGAAUGAUGAUGUCAGCAGGAUGCAGACUCAAUUAUUCACCGGCAUGCCUCAUUUCCGAUGGAUUUAUUGACUGACGAGUUUGGAGCAUUUUUCCAGUGUACUCCUGCAGGAAAUAAUAUUCAUCUCAGCCAUGCUGAUGGAUGCAGAAAACAUCUUCAGGUCUUCAUGGCGCCAUCACUGUGAGCACAUUCCCGGUGCAGUUUCCAUGGUAACUGUCGACAGACUGCCGUUACCAGUGCAGAGGAUUGUGAGGUGAAUUACACGGGAGCAUCUGCUAGCAGGAAGACGAAGAGGAGGAGGAGGUGGAGGAGGAGAAGCAGGAGGAUGGGCUUUACUGCACUUCCUGUCUUUAUGUCUUGCUUCCUGUUUCCUCUCCUCAGUGGAUCCAUGCAUUCAUCCAUCCGUUUCAUGUUUUCUUGAACCUCGUUCUGCCUGCUAGGGCUUGUUUUUAAAUAUUCAUCUCUCCUUUGUCUCUACAUGACUGGAGAUGUUUGGCAAUACCACACACACAUAGUAGAUCUAAAAAGUCUACACACCCUAUUCAAAUGCCAGGUUCUUGUGAUAUAAAAAAAUAACCGUGUUGCACAAGUGUGCACACCCCUCCUAUAUCUAUGAUGAUGAUAAUGGAGAUUGCAGUGUGGUGAAAUAUUCAUUAGAGCAUGAACGUGACACACGCACGCGUUUUUGUGUGAAUACAUAACGAACACUCCUUUCAUACAAGGGCUCCUUGCAAAAGAGGCUCAGCCGGCCGUCAUUUAUCUUUUACUAAACGUCACAAUCUAAUUAAUGUUGGCAGGGAAUUAUUCACACUGUCCAACAGACAUUUGCAUGAAAGUAGAGGGGGGUCAAUGGUGCCACUGUACAUUAAAAAGACCCUUUGAGCUGU
Long non-coding RNA from Syngnathus acus (greater pipefish), 1222 nucleotides. RefSeq lists it as uncharacterized. NCBI's taxonomy places the organism in Eukaryota, Metazoa, Chordata, Actinopteri, Syngnathiformes, Syngnathidae. The record is from RefSeq and is a predicted model, not a curated record. The transcript has 3 exons.